RNAcentral lists this ribosomal RNA (465 nucleotides) under Vreelandella stevensii. Its description in RNAcentral is "partial 16S ribosomal RNA". It matches the Rfam family "Bacterial small subunit ribosomal RNA", at positions 338 to 795 of the family's 1533-position model. Lineage: Bacteria; Pseudomonadati; Pseudomonadota; Gammaproteobacteria; Oceanospirillales; Halomonadaceae. The record is from RNAcentral.
CCUACGGGGGGCUGCAGUGGGGAAUAUUGGACAAUGGGGGCAACCCUGAUCCAGCCAUGCCGCGUGUGUGAAGAAGGCCCUCGGGUUGUAAAGCACUUUCAGUGAGGAAGAACGCCUGGUGGUUAAUACCCAUCAGGAAAGACAUCACUCACAGAAGAAGCACCGGCUAACUCCGUGCCAGCAGCCGCGGUAAUACGGAGGGUGCGAGCGUUAAUCGGAAUUACUGGGCGUAAAGCGCGCGUAGGUGGCUUGAUAAGCCGGUUGUGAAAGCCCCGGGCUCAACCUGGGAACGGCAUCCGGAACUGUCCAGCUAGAGUGCAGGAGAGGAAGGUAGAAUUCCCGGUGUAGCGGUGAAAUGCGUAGAGUUCGGGAGGAAUACCAGUGGCGAAGGCGGCCUUCUGGACUGACACUGACACUGAGGUGCGAAAGCGUGGGUAGCAAACAGGAUUAGAUACCCCAGUAGUC